GUUUCCUGAGGCCUCCCCAGCCAUGCAGAACUGAAGUUUCACAUCACUAGAGAAGAGAGAAGAAGGACAUUUGUACUGGGAGGAGUCGACCGGUCCCAGUAAGGAGAAAGUAGCUACAGCGUCAUGGGUGAGCUGGGUCCCCCAAAAAGGAACUUUAAGGGAAUGGACUGAAUCAAGUCUGAGAUGUCCCCAAAGCAAGACCAAAGAACUGAGGAAGAGAAGCAUUCAUCAGAAACCAAAAUUCAGCUACAAGUGAGCAUCCAGAUGGAGGUAUUAUGAAGAGGAACUGAGACUGAGGGCAAAAGGUGCCAGCCAGAAUCCUGGAUAGGAGAGCAAGAACCAGGACCUCAUUUAAGAGACAACCUGCUUAAGGCAGAGUAAGCACAAAUGGGCACUCAACAUCAAUGAAGUAACAGCAAAGUCACAUAAUAAAAGCAUGGAAUUAAGACAAGCUGAAGAUUCGGAUGCAAUAAAACAACCACCCAUUAUUA
This 491-nucleotide long non-coding RNA is filed under the name Homo sapiens (human). RNAcentral describes it as "HSALNT0318350". Lineage: Eukaryota; Metazoa; Chordata; Mammalia; Primates; Hominidae. The record is from RNAcentral.